UACGUAGGUGGCAAGCGUUAUCCGGAUUUAUUGGGCGUAAAGGGAACGCAGGCGGUCUUUUAAGUCUGAUGUGAAAGCCUUCGGCUUAACCGGAGUAGUGCACUGGAAACUGGGAGACUUGAGUGCAGAAGAGGAGAGUGGAACUCCAUGUGUAGCGGUGAAAUGCGUAGAUAUAUGGAAGAACACCAGUGGCGAAAGCGGCUCUCUGGUCCGUAACUGACGCUGAGGUUCGAAAGCGUGGGGAGCAAACAGG
RNAcentral lists this ribosomal RNA (253 nucleotides) under uncultured bacterium. Its description in RNAcentral is "partial 16S ribosomal RNA". It matches the Rfam family "Bacterial small subunit ribosomal RNA", at positions 524 to 776 of the family's 1533-position model. The record is from RNAcentral.